GCGCACCAGGCGAGAAACUUUACAAUGUGCGAAAGCACGAUAAGGGAACUCUGAGUGCCUCCUAAGGAGGCUGUUCAGGUGUCUAAAAGCACCUGAAGGAAGGGCUGGGUAAGACCGGUGCCAGCCGCCGCGGUAACACCGGCAGCCCAAGUGGUAGCCACGUUUAUUGGGUCUAAAGCGUCCGUAGCCGGCUGGGUAAGUUCCUUGGGAAAUUUGGCUGCUUAACAGUCAAGCUUUCAGGGAAUACUGCCCGGCUUGGGACCGGGGAGAGGUCAGGAGGUA
This 282-nucleotide ribosomal RNA is filed under the name uncultured microorganism. Its description in RNAcentral is "partial 16S ribosomal RNA". It matches the Rfam family "Archaeal small subunit ribosomal RNA", at positions 330 to 617 of the family's 1478-position model. The record is from RNAcentral.